GAUGAACGCUAGCUACAGGCUUAACACAUGCAAGUCGAGGGGCAGCGCAGUGUAGCAAUACAUGGGCGGCGACCGGCGCACGGGUGCGUAACGCGUAUCCAACCUUCCCGUUACUCAGGGAUAGCCUUCCGAAAGGGAGAUUAAUACCUGAUGGUGUUGAAAUUCCGCAUGUUAUUUCAACUAAAGAUUUAUCGGUAACGGAUGGGGAUGCGUGACAUUAGGUAGAUGGCGGGGUAACGGCCCACCAUGCCUACGAUGUCUAGGGGUUCUGAGAGGAAGGUCCCCCCACACUGGAACUGAGACACGGUCCAGACUCCUACGGGAGGCAGCAGUGAGGAAUAUUGGUCAAUGGCCGAAGGCUGAACCAGCCAAGUAGCGUGAAGGAUGAAGGUUCUAUGGAUUGUAAACUUCUUUUAUACGGGAAUAAAACCACCUACGUGUAGGUGCUUGUAUGUACCGUAUGAAUAAGCAUCGGCUAACUCCGUGCCAGCAGCCGCGGU
This 500-nucleotide ribosomal RNA is filed under the name uncultured bacterium. Its description in RNAcentral is "bacterial SSU rRNA". It matches the Rfam family "Bacterial small subunit ribosomal RNA", at positions 28 to 521 of the family's 1533-position model. The record is from RNAcentral.